UGACCUCGGAUCACGUAAGGAUACCCGAUGAACUUAAGCAUAAAAAUAAGCGGAGGAA
Molecule: ribosomal RNA, 58 nt
Filed under: Aspergillus niger
Lineage: Eukaryota; Fungi; Ascomycota; Eurotiomycetes; Eurotiales; Aspergillaceae
Description: partial 28S ribosomal RNA
Source: RNAcentral